AUGCGUAAACUAUCCGAACUUUAUAUGCUAUAUCAAACUUGUCGUGCUAGGGAAGCGAGACAAUAAUAAACUUCUAGGAGUCUGUGUCCGUAGGACGGUGUCCACGUACCUGUUCCAGGGCCAUAAUUAUCUGUAGAUCUUGCACUGGCACUUGUAGUCAGUAAGAUCCACAGUAGUCGUCUAGAGGUCUUAAAACAAUAUUUACAUUUGGUCUGUAAUAAUUAAGUAUCCGAGUGGUCGGAACAGUUCCCAUAUUGUUUAGUUGCUUUCUAUGAUAACUGGUUAUUGUUUGGGACACGGUAUGGGACGUGUUAUAUAACUGAAUUGUAUGAUAGUUGUCGUGGAAACUUCUGAACAAUCUGUUUCGCUCAGUGCCGCGCCCCGAUGAUUCCGCCAUCGGUUGGGGUGUGACAUAAAUGGAGGCAUUGGGGUUGGGCAUUCACAUCUAGUCGCCACAUACGGUCUAUAGGCUUAUAUCAUUUGAAACUUGCUGUCUGGGAGGCUGGAGUGGUCAUGGGUCGAGAUAUAUGGAAUCGCAGUACAAGCUUAACGGUUUAUAUACACAUGUUUUAUGAAACCCUUAACAAAUGAAUUAUGCUUCCGUUGUAUACAACGAACGACAUGUAAUGUUUGUAACACUUAAUGUUCAUGUAUGAAAGUU
RNAcentral lists this long non-coding RNA (661 nucleotides) under Helianthus annuus (common sunflower). RNAcentral describes it as "hypothetical non coding rna". The record is from RNAcentral. Lineage: Eukaryota; Viridiplantae; Streptophyta; Magnoliopsida; Asterales; Asteraceae.